RNAcentral lists this ribosomal RNA (857 nucleotides) under uncultured bacterium. RNAcentral describes it as "bacterial SSU rRNA". It matches the Rfam family "Bacterial small subunit ribosomal RNA", at positions 56 to 906 of the family's 1533-position model. The record is from RNAcentral.
UGCAAGUCGAACGGCAGCACAGAGAGAGCUUGCUCCUUGGGUGGCGAGUGGCGGACGGGUGAGGAAUACAUCGGAAUCUACUUUUUCGUGGGGGAUAACGUAGGGAAACUUACGCUAAUACCGCAUACGACCUACGGGUGAAAGCAGGGGACCUUCGGGCCUUGCGCGAUUGAAUGAGCCGAUGUCGGAUUAGCUAGUUGGCGGGGUAAAGGCCCACCAAGGCGACGAUCCGUAGCUGGUCUGAGAGGAUGAUCAGCCACACUGGAACUGAGACACGGUCCAGACUCCUACGGGAGGCAGCAGUGGGGAAUAUUGGACAAUGGGCGCAAGCCUGAUCCAGCCAUACCGCGUGGGUGAAGAAGGCCUUCGGGUUGUAAAGCCCUUUUGUUGGGAAAGAAAUCCAGCUGGCUAAUACCCGGUUGGGAUGACGGUACCCAAAGAAUAAGCACCGGCUAACUUCGUGCCAGCAGCCGCGGUAAUACGAAGGGUGCAAGCGUUACUCGGAAUUACUGGGCGUAAAGCGUGCGUAGGUGGUCGUUUAAGUCCGUUGUGAAAGCCCUGGGCUCAACCUGGGGAACUGCAGUGGAUACUGGGCGACUAGAGUGUGGUAGAGGGUAGCGGAAUUUCCUGGUGUAGCAGUGAAAUGCGUAGAGAUCAGAGGAACAUCCAUGGCGAAGGCAGCUACCUGGACCAACACUGACACUGAGGCACGAAAGCGUGGGGAGCAACAGAUUAGAUACCCUGGUAGUCCACGCCCUAACGAUGCGAACUGGAUGUUGGGUGCAAAUUGGCACGCAGUAUCGAAGCUAACGCGUUAAGUCGCGCUGGGGAGUACGUCGCAAGACUGAAACUCAAAG